This is a long non-coding RNA of Schistocerca cancellata (South American locust), 1566 nucleotides long. RefSeq lists it as uncharacterized. The transcript has 3 exons. NCBI's taxonomy places the organism in Eukaryota, Metazoa, Arthropoda, Insecta, Orthoptera, Acrididae. The record is from RefSeq and is a predicted model, not a curated record.
CAGCAAAUUAGGUGACACUUUCAGUCCUUUCAUGUAAAAUUCAAGCAAAUUUUAAGCUGUGAGAAAACGCACUGCAUGUAUAAAAUGAGUAGUCAAGGGAUGCAGGCAUUACAUUCAGCCUUAAAUGAUAAAGUGUCUAUUUUUACAUAGCUGCAGUCCCGAUAAUUACUAUAUGGGACUGGAGGGCUAAGCAAUUGGAACAACCACAUACAAAUGCCAAAGUAAUAAAUAUGCAAAAAUGUGAAAUGUAAAUGUAAUAUGUUAAGCAAAGUAACUGUAUAUGGCUAUUUGGCUGCAAUUUUAUUAAAUAAACAAAUGCUAAAGUAAUAUAACAAGACAUACAUAUAAAAAUAAUAACAGUACAUUUCUUCAUCCUCUGUAUGCAGGGGUUAACACAUAUUUGAUUAGGUACAGGCACAGGAAAUUUAAAAUUUGUACUUGAAGUUAACUGUCACCAAAUACUGCCCAACAUCAUGCACAAUGUAUCUGAAACGUUGUUAAGGAAGAAAACAAGAAUUUUUAAUAACAAUUCAAAUCAUAACUAUAGUACAUAUCUUUGUAACACAUUGCUGGAAAUGACAGUUCACCUGUGCAUUAACAGUAUUGAUUUACUACUAACUCAUUUUUAAGUUUGUUUCAAACCAUAUAAGUCAUUUUUCAAAUGAUGGGCUGAGGACAAAUAUUGCAGCAGAGAUGACACCAAAAACUAUUCUUCAGAAUACGUCUUUCUUUCCAUAGAGGCUUAUCAGUUGUCAUGCACCCUCCUGACAGAAGUGCCUGUUGGGUUAGGACACAAACCUACAUGCUAGGAUAGAAACUCCAAUUGAAUUUGGAAAUUUGUGAUAGAUACUGACAGACUGAAGCAGCAAUGUGGAUAAUGACGUGUGCUUGAGAAGGCUGUGAAGUAAGAGGUUCAUCCAUAAAAUGGUUGUGGGGCUCCUUCAUAACAAAUGGAAAUGGAGUAACAAAUCUUUUGAGAUAGAUGGCUAGAAAUGCUUUUUGACAUCAGUAUGCAUCACACAUUUCAUAACUAAUUUCUUUAUGAAUUUUAUUUUCUUUAUGUGCAGUCUUCAUCUGGCACAUAAGCUGCCUGGCCAUUAUUUCCCUAAAUUGGCAUGGAUUGUUAUGUGCUGCAUGCUACAGUCAAGACUCUGGCACUAUAAAACAUGCACUCAUAUCCUGAUAAGCCUGGUAAACUGAACAUCAAAACGUAGACAGAGAUAAUAAUUCAAUCUUAAUAACUAAGGACAUCAUAUCAGCAAGUGGAGAUGUCAAAGCAUUGUACAGGAAAGGUGCCAUGCGGGCUACACAUUGGAAUAACCUCAAAAAGGGCGUGACCUGCCCUGAGACAAAGCUAAAAAGAUAUUUUAGCCACCAGCAGAGGAUCUUCAAGGCGAAUAAAAUGAUGCAGCUGGUCCUGAAGGAUGUAGAAAUAGAAUUUCUGCAUCUUCUUCAUCAUUGAAUAUUGUUUUUACCAGUCCAAAGUACCAGUUACCAUCAUAAUUUGCAGCCACAUAGCUAUUUAUGGAUGGUUCCACACGAACCCAAUCAGAAGAACAAUGGAAA